Dioscorea cayenensis subsp. rotundata (Guinea yam) is the source of this 107-nucleotide small nucleolar RNA. The record is from RefSeq and is a predicted model, not a curated record. NCBI's taxonomy places the organism in Eukaryota, Viridiplantae, Streptophyta, Magnoliopsida, Dioscoreales, Dioscoreaceae.
AGAUUGUGAUAUCGGCAUUUCUUUAAUAAGUCCUUGAAUCUCUCCCACGCCUCAAACAAUGAUUCUGUGUCUAACUGUGCAUAAGCGGAAAUCUCCUAACACAACUU